This 406-nucleotide ribosomal RNA is filed under the name uncultured bacterium. Its description in RNAcentral is "partial 16S ribosomal RNA". It matches the Rfam family "Bacterial small subunit ribosomal RNA", at positions 30 to 526 of the family's 1533-position model. The record is from RNAcentral.
AUUGAACGCUGGCGGCAGGCCUAACACAUGCAAGUCGAGCGAGCGGCGGACGGGUGAGUAAUUUAUGGGGAUCUGCCCGAUAUAGGGGUAUAACUACUGGAAACGGUGGCUACUACCGCAUACUAUCGGUUGCACCCUUAUGGGAUUAGCUAGUAGGUGGGGUAAAGGCUCACCUAGGCGACGAUCUCUAGCUGGUCUGAGAGGAUGAUCAGCCACACUGGGACUGAGACAAGGCCCAGACUCCUACGGGAGGCAGCAGUGGGGAAUAUUGCAAAAUGGGCGCAAGCCUGAUGCAGCCAUGCCGCGUGUAUGAAGAAGGCCUUAGGGUUGUAAAGUACGUUCAGCGGGGAGGCGUUACCCGAAGAAGAAGCAACGGCUAACUCCGUGCCAGCAGCCGCGGUAAUAC